RNAcentral lists this ribosomal RNA (460 nucleotides) under uncultured bacterium. Its description in RNAcentral is "partial 16S ribosomal RNA". It matches the Rfam family "Bacterial small subunit ribosomal RNA", at positions 338 to 795 of the family's 1533-position model. The record is from RNAcentral.
CCUACGGGAGGCAGCAGUGAGGAAUAUUGGUCAAUGGACGAGAGUCUGACCCAGCCAAGUAGCGUGAAGGAUGACUGCCCUAUGGGUUGUAAACUUCUUUUAUAAAGGAAUAAAACGAGGCACGUGUGCCUUUUUGCAUGUACUUUAUGAAUAAGGAUCGGCUAACUCCGUGCCAGCAGCCGCGGUAAUACGGAGGAUCCGAGCGUUAUCCGGAUUUAUUGGGUUUCAAGGGAGCGUAGAUGGGUUGUUAAGUCAGUUGUGAAAGUUUGCGGCUCAACCGUAAAAUUGCAAUUGAUACUGGCAGUCUUGAGUACAGUUGAGGUAGGCGGAAUUCGUGGUGUAGCGGUGAAAUGCUUAGAUAUCACGAAGAACCCCGAUUGCGAAGGCAGCUUACUAAACUGUGACUGACAUUGAUGCUCGAAAGUGUGGGUAUCAAACAGGAUUAGAUACCCUUGUAGUC